GGCGUCACUUGUAAGUCCUGUGUGGACAAGGCGCGUUUUUGGCGUAUUGAAUUUUAAACCUGAUGCUUUUUGUUAUCUAUUAAUCAUGUUUUUCUUUGUCUAAUAUGUUCUAUUUAUUUGUAUUGUAGUCCUGUAAUAUUAUGUUGUCAUUUCAAUGUUAUAUUUAACUUUGCCAUUAAAGUGCGAGGUUUGGCAUGCCACAAAACCAGGUUCAACCCACCACUUUUAUUCCCCUUUAAAAGUGUCCUGUACCAAGUCAGGAAGAUGGCCAUUGUUAUAUUAUUGUUCGUUUCUGUGUGUGUUGCAUUUUAACGUUGAGUCGUUUGUGUUUUCUCUUAUUUUUGAGAUAUUGAGAUCAGACGUGGCACGGUACUUGUCUAUCCCAAAUUCAUGUAUUUGAUUUUCAUGUUAUAUUUGUUAUUCUCGUGGUGUUUUAUCUGAUGCUUGGUCCGUUUCGGUGUUAUGUCGUUGUUCUCCUCUUAUAUUUAAUGCGUUUCCCUCGGUUUUAGUUUGUUACCCCGAUUUUGUUUUUUGUCCCUGGAUUUAUGAGUUUUAAACAGCAGUAUACUACUGUUGCCUUUAUUUAAAAGAGUAUCCGAAAUGCAUAGU
RNAcentral lists this long non-coding RNA (609 nucleotides) under Mytilus galloprovincialis (Mediterranean mussel). The record is from RNAcentral. Lineage: Eukaryota; Metazoa; Mollusca; Bivalvia; Mytilida; Mytilidae.